AGAGUUUGAUCCUGGCUCAGGAUGAACGCUAGCUACAGGCUUAACACAUGCAAGUCGAGGGGCAGCAUGUUGGUUGCUUGCAACCAACGAUGGCGACCGGCGCACGGGUGAGUAACGCGUAUCCAACCUACCCUUGUCCAUCGGAUAACCCGUCGAAAGGCGGCCUAACACGAUAUGCGGUUCACAGCAGGCAUCUAACGUGAACGAAAUGUGAAGGAGAAGGAUGGGGAUGCGUCUGAUUAGCUUGGUUGGCGGGUAACGGCCACCAAGGCUACGAUCAGUAGGGGUUCUGAGAGGAAGGUCCCCCANAUUGGAACUGAGACACGGUCCAAAACUCCUACGGGAGGCA
Molecule: ribosomal RNA, 349 nt
Filed under: uncultured bacterium
Lineage: Bacteria
Description: bacterial SSU rRNA
Rfam family: Bacterial small subunit ribosomal RNA
Source: RNAcentral